AUGUUAAGAAAAAAAAGUGAGUCUUCAGUGGACAGACUGUUGUUCACGGUGCAGGAGGUUUUUGUACGAGCACCUAAUGAGUCUGUAUCACUGUGGUACACUUUCGGUGGAGGAACCAGACUUGACAACGACUUGGGUCUGGUGCGGCCCACCCUGACCCUCCUCCCCCCCUCCAGUGAAGAGCUGGAGCAGGGCACUGCCACUCUGGUGUGUAUGGCCAGCGGGGGCUUCCCCUCAGCCUGGAGCCUUGGCUGGAAGGUGGGGGGCAGAAUCAGGUCCUCAGGGGUGUCUCACAACCCGGGGGUCCUGGGGGGAACCGGCCACUACAGCUGGAGCAGCACCAUGAGCCUCACUGCAGACCAGUGGAGGAAGGCGGGCUCAGUGAGCUGUGAGGCCAGUCUGAACGGACAGAGCCCUGUCGCUCAAACCCUGGACCCUGACCUCUGCUCAGAGUAGAGAGACGACCGGGUGGAGUCAUUGUGCUCUACUGUGGGUCCGUUUGAUUUACAUGUGUUCUACUGCAGCUCUGCAUGUCUUCAUGUCUUUUCUUCAACUCAU
Limanda limanda (common dab) is the source of this 558-nucleotide non-coding RNA. The record is from the annotation of a RefSeq genome assembly. Lineage: Eukaryota; Metazoa; Chordata; Actinopteri; Pleuronectiformes; Pleuronectidae.